Molecule: long non-coding RNA, 584 nt
Organism: Meriones unguiculatus (Mongolian gerbil)
Lineage: Eukaryota; Metazoa; Chordata; Mammalia; Rodentia; Muridae
Exons: 4
Source: RefSeq, a predicted model, not a curated record
GAGGUCAACUUCAGGUAGCUUCCUAAAUUAUUCUUCGGUUUGUUUCUUAUGGCAGGGUCUUUGGCUUUUACCUGGAUUUCACUGCUUCAGCUAACUUGGGGAGUCGAUCCAAGCGUGGCUUCUCGGUUGAACCCAGAUCUUGUUCAUACAGCUGGUCUUAUCAGCCAGCUUGCUCCGACAGGGAUCCCCUGUGCCCACCUUUUCAGCGCUGCGAUGGCAGAAAGACCACCGUGCCCACUGGGCGUGUACAUGGGUUCUGCCCAUCUGAAUCCCGUUCCUCAAGCUUAAGCAGUGAGCACUUAUCCGAGCCGAGAUCUUGUUACAUCACAAGGAGAAAAACUGGAUUUUCUUCGAAGCAGUCGGAGUGAAAACACAUGUACUGUGUGUUGUCCUCAAACCGUAUUCCCAUGUGUGCACUGUGAGCGCACAGAGGGUGGCUCCCUGGGACUUUAGCACCUUGGAGCAUCUUCCUGUCACUCUGCACAGCUAUGACGUCCCCUGGAGCCUCCUGGAGUUUUCCAGCUCUCACAAGGGGCGGAUUCUUCCCACCGUACACCCCUGCCAUGACAGACAGCUGUCACGGG